Molecule: ribosomal RNA, 188 nt
Filed under: uncultured bacterium
Lineage: Bacteria
Description: partial 16S ribosomal RNA
Rfam family: Bacterial small subunit ribosomal RNA
Source: RNAcentral
CCUACGGGAGGCAGCAGUGGGGAAUAUUGGACAAUGGGCGCAAGCCUGAUCCAGCCAUACCGCGUGGGUGAAGAAGGCUUUUGGGUUGUAAAACCCUUUUGUUGGGAAAGAAAAGCAGCGGGCUAAUACCUUGCUGUUCUGACGGUACCCAAAGAAUAAGCACCGGCUAACUUCGUGCCAGCAGCCGC